UACGAAGGGGGCUAGCGUUGUUCGGAUUUACUGGGCGUAAAGCGCACGUAGGCGGAUCGUUAAGUCGGGGGUGAAAUCCUGGAGCUCAACUCCGGAACUGCCUUCGAUACUGGCGAUCUUGAGUCCGGAAGAGGUGAGUGGAACUCCUAGUGUAGAGGUGGAAUUCGUAGAUAUUAGGAAGAACACCAGUGGCGAAGGCGGCUCACUGGUCCGGUACUGACGCUGAGGUGCGAAAGCGUGGGGAGCAAACAGG
Molecule: ribosomal RNA, 253 nt
Filed under: uncultured bacterium
Lineage: Bacteria
Description: partial 16S ribosomal RNA
Rfam family: Bacterial small subunit ribosomal RNA
Source: RNAcentral